RNAcentral lists this transfer RNA (73 nucleotides) under marine actinobacterium MedAcidi-G3. Its description in RNAcentral is "tRNA-Ala". It matches the Rfam family "tRNA". From Rfam's summary of the family: Transfer RNA (tRNA) molecules are approximately 80 nucleotides in length. Their secondary structure includes four short double-helical elements and three loops (D, anti-codon, and T loops). Further hydrogen bonds mediate the characteristic L-shaped molecular structure. tRNAs have two regions of fundamental functional importance: the anti-codon, which is responsible for specific mRNA codon recognition, and the 3' end, to which the tRNAs corresponding amino acid is attached (by aminoacyl-tRNA synthetases). tRNAs cope with the degeneracy of the genetic code in two manners: having more than one tRNA (with a specific anti-codon) for a particular amino acid; and 'wobble' base-pairing, i.e. permitting non-standard base-pairing at the 3rd anti-codon position. RNAcentral also lists the same sequence under 6 other names. The record is from RNAcentral. Lineage: Bacteria; Bacillati; Actinomycetota; Actinomycetes.
GGGGCUAUAGCUCAGUUGGUAGAGCACUUCCAUGGCAUGGAAGGGGUCAGGGGUUCAAUUCCCCUUAGCUCCA